UACGAGGGGGGCGAGCGUUGUUCGGAAUUAUUGGGCGUAAAGGGUGCGUAGGCGGUUUGGUAAGUCUUGUGUGAAAUCUACAGGCUCAACUUGUAGUCUGCACGAGAAACUGCCGGGCUUGAGUGUGGGAGAGGUGAGUGGAAUUCCUGGUGUAGCGGUGAAAUGCGUAGAUAUCAGGAGGAACACCUGUGGCGAAAGCGGCUCACUGGACCAUAACUGACGCUGAUGCACGAAAGCUAGGGGGAGCAAACAGG
Molecule: ribosomal RNA, 254 nt
Filed under: uncultured bacterium
Lineage: Bacteria
Description: partial 16S ribosomal RNA
Rfam family: Bacterial small subunit ribosomal RNA
Source: RNAcentral